Molecule: long non-coding RNA, 1092 nt
Organism: Misgurnus anguillicaudatus (oriental weatherfish)
Lineage: Eukaryota; Metazoa; Chordata; Actinopteri; Cypriniformes; Cobitidae
Source: RefSeq, a predicted model, not a curated record
UACCUUUCAAAAAGUACACCUUUGUACCUAAAGAUUACAUGAGUACCUCAGAGGUACAUACUGGUACCAAAGAUUUCAUAUUAGUACAUCAACGGUACACAUUGGCUGCGCAGACUGAUCUACGUGAAGUUCUGCGAGAGAGCGAUUAGUAAGCGCUGGUCUCGAAACUCUCUCGCGAUACUUUGAUGUCAUAGCCCGAUAGAUCUGGACGGCGUAGCUGAGUUUAACAAACUCCAGUGAGAUGGAAGAGCGCGAGAAAAAUCUCCAGAACAAGAUUACUGCAACACGACGUCGUCUGUCUGAGCCAGGACCAAGAUGAAGUAGAUGACCAGCACCACUAUAUCUAUGGUGACCAGUGUGGUCGGUGGUGGCGUGCCCUCAGCGGUCGGCGAAGGAGAAACACGGGGAAGCUCGGUGACACUCAUUAGGUCAAAGAUCAACGACUUUCUCAGGAGUGACUUUAAAAUGUCAUCCCUCCAUGACUAUACAAACUGAAUACAUCCAAAAGAAGACCCCUCUGUCCGCAUUGAAGACCCCUCUGUCCAGAACUAAGAGAGCGCAGGCAAGCUCUCUGCAGCCCUGGAUCUACAUCUCCACUAAGUUUGUUCAGCUGUAACCCUAUUGCAGAGCACGGUGCCGAAAUCUGGGACAAGCUAGCUGGGUCUUUAAAUGAAUCCUUUGCAAGAGCAAGGAGGUUUAAACUGACUUUCAAUGGAUCAGUAGCAAGUCAGGUCAGGCCCAGGGAUUCAAUUAUAGCAGAAGAGCACGGGCAUAUGUGAAGGCCUGAAGGGCUACGAAACCUGGCACCGUCUGUGACUCCAGCAUAUGAAGUUAAAAACUAACAGCAGGUGAACAGAAGUCAAGGUGAGCAAAACUCCAUUAUGACCUUGAUCUGUAAGACUGACCCACUAGAAGGAUCACAAAACUACUAUAUAGCAACCUUAUACUCGCAACGCCACAAUCUAUCUCAGAAAGCCCUGACUGCCUGUACAUUAUCUUGCUUAUUAUACGGCUAUUUACCUCAUAAGUAAGGUAAGGGACAUUAAAUAUUGAUUGCUAAAUAUUGAAUUAUUUGCUCAUUUUUAACGAAUG